Long non-coding RNA from Gallus gallus (chicken), 2288 nucleotides. RefSeq lists it as uncharacterized. The record is from RefSeq and is a predicted model, not a curated record. The transcript has 3 exons. NCBI's taxonomy places the organism in Eukaryota, Metazoa, Chordata, Aves, Galliformes, Phasianidae.
GCUGGCUGAAACCCUAGCUUUGCUGGUGCUGGGAGUGUUUCAAGCCAGUUCAGCGGUUUGAUGUGCCUGAGACACGUGCACCCUGGCUCUUUGGGUUACCGAGUUUGCAGUCCUCAGAGGUUCUCUGACACUUGUCUCUCACGUGUGCCAGCAACUCUUCAUGAAGCUCCUGCUAUAGCUUGGCAAAAAUGUCCACGAGUUUCUGAUAUGGAUUUGUCACACUUCCUUUGCUGGAGUACCAGCUCCCUGUUCCAGGAUACACUCAGCCAUCAAUACAGAACAUCACCGGUACCAUAGCAUCCAGAUGUUAUCUUUAAUUGCCUCAUCCAGACUAACAGUCAAAAAGCACGUAUUCAUGCUCAGUUUGAUUCAGAAUGCAAGUAAUGUGGGUAGUGCUACUUUUCAGACAACAGUCCUUCUCAAACAGCAGCAAAAUCCAACAACAAACAUACGCUGUCUCUGCUUUACACAGUGAAAGCCUUGCCUGUAUGUUCAGACUGCCAAUUUUUAUUAGCUACCAACAGCUUGCACACUCACCAAUUUCAUCAGGUAAGUAUCUCACAUGCAGAAAUCUGUAGAACAUGAAAAAUUGACCUUUUUUUUUCCCCCAGUACUUAAGUUAACUGUGAUUAAUAUCGUGCAGUGAGUACAACUAGAAUGGAAAAAAAAAAUCUCUUAAACUUGGUUUAGGUAGAUAUAUUCAUUUCUAAAAUAUUUCUAUGAAAUAUUGAUUAGUGUUAAUUACAAAUGGUUCUCCAUGUCCAGCAGCGAUCCUACUGCUAACUAGCCUGUCUGUCCAUUUACGUUGCAAAGGCAUUCACUGACGCCAAGCUGUGGUUCCACCCAUCUCCACGCAACCAAGCAUUAUUACGGUUUGCUGCACACAGCCAGGCUUAAGAGGCCAAGCUGCUCCUAAGCAGAGCCAUUGCAACUGCACAUUAACAUUUGAAAAUAGUAAAAAAAAACCCAUGGUUUUUCCUUUCCCAAAAGGCAAGGAGAAGAAACACCACUGCCCAACAGGCUGCUAUAUACUGUGCAUACACUAGCAAGUAAGUUGACCCCAGAGCAGGCCUGACAUGUGUAAGUGUACAGACAGAGCUGACCAGAUCUCAGCUCCCCGUCACCUGGCUCCAAACAUGCCCCCAGGGCUGUAAGCCAGGAAGAGCAUAGGAUAUGCCCUCACAAGGAUGCUUGGCCUGGUCUAGAUGGCUGAGGGAUUCAGGACUAACGUGAACCACAGAGUACUCUUACGCCAAAGCGUAGACAGCCACAGCCUCUAUCAGUCUGUUCAGCUACCACUGCAUCCCAGACAAGCGGGCUAUAAGACUGAGUAACUUCUUUUUCUGAAACAAGUGCAAGUCUAGUAGCUGAUUCUGAGGCUUAUGAUCUCACCAGCAGUCAAUCUUCAGGCCUCACAGUCUCAUCACUGGCUCUGACCUCCUGGUCCUCUGGGUAGUCAACUUUCAUACCUUCCAGUCUCUCCAGCAUCUGGCCUGAGCUUAUAGCCACUCGGUCACUUGGCUCCUAUGCUUUUUAUCCUGUUAGUGGGCUUGUCCACCUUGAUAUUUGCUAGAGAUUAUACACUAACAUACAUACCCACACGACGUACACUCCUGUCUUGGCCCCAAACCUGCCAGAGUUCAAGCAGCAUUUGAAUUUUGAGUGGUCCUGAGUGGAGCCAGGAACUGGACGUGAUGAUCCUUGUGUGUUCCUUACAACUUGGGAUAUUCUGUGAUUACAUGAUUCCCAGAGGUGGCUGUUCCCUAUACGGAGAUGGAGACCACCACUCCCCGUUAUUGGCUGUCAUAAUCUGUUUACUGUUGAACCAUUUUGAUGAUCUUCAGGGUUCCUUCCAACACAAGCCAUUCUAUGAUUCUAUCAUUUUAAUUUGUGAUGAAAGACUCCACAGUCAUAAGCAUGAACUGCUGCUAGACCAGUUGAUAAUGUGAAACAUCUAGAGUACUCAGGAGAAUUUGCGAAACCCUUCUAGAAAAUCUUAUGUGUUCUGGUUAAGAAUUAUAUUCCAUUUAAACAUUGAAAAAAAAUAUCAACCAGAAAAAUAAGUUAAUGCACGAUAUAGGUGUUUCAAAAUUACAUCCAAAGAGGGUGGAUGGAAUAUUUCUUCUUGCAUUUUUAAUAAUGUACUUUCUUUUGUCUGUCAGCUGUCGUUCUGACUUCUCUUUAUUCUUAACAUAACAGAGGCCAGUUCCAGACCUGUCCUACCUCACUUCAGUCUAUCUAGGUAACAUAUUAUUAUGCAAUAAUCUACCAGAACAAAGUAUGAAAUC